CAAAAUUAGAGUUUGAUCCUAGCUCAGGAUGAACGCUGGCGGCGUGGAUAAGGCAUGCAAGUCAAGGGGGCCGCAAGGCAACCGGCAGACGAGGUAGUAAUAAGCAGGUACGUACCGAAGAGUCAGGCAUAGCUCAUCGAAAGGUGAGGUAAUUCCUGAUAGUCCGUACAUCUCACAAAGUUUCGAUGUAGAAUUAAGAAUAUAGAAUUAUGAAUUAUGGGUAAGAAGCGAUUCUUCAUUCAUACUUCCUAAUUCAUACUUCAUACUUCUGCACCGAGGUUUUGCGAGGUGCGCGGUAAAGUCGCAAGACGCUUUUUGAACGGCCUGCUCGGUAUCAGCUAGUUGGUGAGGUAAAAGCUCACCAAGGCUAUGACGCCUAGGGGACCUGAGAGGGUGACCCCCACCGAUGGAACUGAGAAACGGUCCAUACACCUACGGGUGGCUGCAGCCGAGAAUAUUCGACAAUGGACGAAAGUCUGAUGGAGCGACGCCGCGUGCAGGAUGAAGUCCUUCGGGAUGUAAACUGCUUUUGUGGGAUAGAAAGUUUAUUGAUCAUCCCAAGAAUAAGAGGUUACUAAACUCGUGCCAGCAGUAGCGGUAAUACGAGUGCCUCAAGCGUUAUCCGGAAUUACUGGGCGUAAAGGGUGUGUAGGCGGC
RNAcentral lists this ribosomal RNA (657 nucleotides) under bacterium. Its description in RNAcentral is "bacterial SSU rRNA". It matches the Rfam family "Bacterial small subunit ribosomal RNA", at positions 1 to 579 of the family's 1533-position model. The record is from RNAcentral.